RNAcentral lists this ribosomal RNA (301 nucleotides) under uncultured bacterium. RNAcentral's name for it is "partial 16S ribosomal RNA". It matches the Rfam family "Bacterial small subunit ribosomal RNA", at positions 509 to 807 of the family's 1533-position model. The record is from RNAcentral.
CAGCAGCCACGGUAAUACGUAGGGUGCGAGCGUUAAUCGGAAUUACUGGGCGUAAAGCGUGCGUAGGUGGUGGUUUAAGUCCGUUGUGAAAGCCCUGGGCUCAACCUGGGAAUUGCAGUGGAUACUGGGUCACUAGAGUGUGGUAGAGGAUAGUGGAAUUUCCGGUGUAGCAGUGAAAUGCGUAGAGAUCGGAAGGAACAUCUGUGGCGAAGGCGGCCAUCUGGGACAACACUGACGCUGAGGCACGAAAGCGUGGGGAGCAAACAGGAUUAGAUACCCCAGUAGUCCCUGUCUCUUAUAC